AGUACACAUCCGCCGCCCUGCAUAGAGGGUGGAGCCUAAGGACGCAUGUGCGAGAAGCUCAACAGUUUCUCUCGUUAAUCUGCUUUUGCCCUCUUUUUUCCUGAGUGGUCUGAGGAACUCAUUCAUUCACUUCUACGAGAUGAGACUGCCGUGGCCCCUAACCCGCAUUUUAUUGUGACCAUGGUUAUUCCGAAACCUUGCAGGGGAUCAAAUUACUUGGUGGUGCUCAGAGAAUUCUUACUAAACCUUGAAGUCAUUCUAACCGAGAGGGCCAACAACAAUGUCAGAAGUUACUGCUGCUGAGCCUUGCCUUCCAAAAGUUUCUUUUUUCUGCAAAACCCACAUGUACACGUUCCACUUCAGUGGUCGACAAAUGCUGAUUGAGGUGAAGAAACCUGUACCCGCACAACAAGUCUUCCUUUGCUGCAGCCUCUCAAACAAUCCUGGCCCCCCAACUUUAAUGGCAUUCAAACAGUAUGUGCUACGCUGCUUAAAAUGGAAUGGAAAUCAUAUAUUCUUGCCAUUACUAGAAGAGAUUAGUGUUGAAGAUGAAAGGACUGUCUCAGAAGAGCAAGUAUGACAUCUGGUCGAAGGGCUCUCUCCACCGUGAACUGCUCCUUGCAGAGUCUCCGGCUCCAUCAAAAUUACAGGAAUGAUGUCCGUCCGUCUGCCAUCCUGGGAGUUCAGAAGAGAAACUGCAACUUCAGGGUUUGGCACAUGGUGAAUACCUGCUUCCAAGGCUUAUUUUGAAGCCUGACAUUCCUAGUCUGAAAGCAUUUCCUUGAGGGUAGCCAGCUGUGCCUGCUCCCUUUUUUUAAGAGAUCACACUGCAGCAGUCGAACGCAUCAUGGAACACUCUCCUGCCCCAUUUCCUUUCUCUCCCAGCCCAUGGAGAUGCUACAGAAAUCUCUUUUUCUU
This 918-nucleotide long non-coding RNA is filed under the name Salvator merianae (Argentine black and white tegu). RNAcentral's name for it is "lncRNA (ENSSMRG00000017887.1)". Lineage: Eukaryota; Metazoa; Chordata; Lepidosauria; Squamata; Teiidae. The record is from RNAcentral.